UACUAAUCAAUUACUAUCAGAUGCUAGACUUCUUCAGCUGCCCCAUAUGUGAGGAGCACAGUUUCUCACAAUACCCUGUCUUGAUUUCAGUGCUGUAUCUCUUUCCAGGGGCUGAGGAGAGGCAAGGUAAAGCAGGACACCUCAUUCAGCCCCAGUUUCACUAAAUGCAGAAGACAAAUAACUGUUGACCUGAUGUUACCCACGCACAAAAACUGGAAAACUCGAGCGAUAUUGCUGUCUAGCAGAUUUAUUCCUACCUGGCACUACUGCUUAGAAAAUGCCUAAUUAACAGACAGUUAAACCAGCAGAGUGAAACAUGGCAAUUUGUGUGUAACAAGCACACAAACAGCAAGCCAAGGUAGGGCUGCUGGGUGUAGCAGGGCCACGACUGCAAUAACUGACUAUAAAUGCUCUUGAUGGAAGAGGACAGCAGACAAGAAGCUUUUAAGCCAAGGCAAAGAACAGAACCAGAAGCAAAGACUGCAGGCUAAUCAGCCCAGCAAUUAGUCUAAGUAGCAUCAAAUCUCUAUUUGAAAUCCCUCCUGUAGUACCACUUGGAGACCACUAUUUUCCACUUUCUGGCACUGUGGGGUUUCUGCAUGCUAUUAUGUUGUCUGUGCCUCCAACUCUGGAAAUGGCUGCAUUUCAGUAACAACUCAAACACCCCCAAGUGUCAUUUAAGAAGCUUGAAGACCAUUUGCCUGAAAUGAAAAGGCCUUGACAAACAGUAGAUGUUGCUUUGACCUCCAACCCAUCCUUGGCCACACAACCUCCCAGUCCACUUUUCUCUUCUCUGUAACACCCAGCAGCAGGAUCCAGCACUUAAUACCCUGACAGAAGAAGAAAGCAGAAAUCUUUCCCCCAGGAGUGGGGUCUGUGCCUGGUAAAUACAUAGAGGAGUCUCAGUCAGGCCCUUGCCUGCCAUGGAAGCCUGUCUGGGAGAAAGGGGUGAAAGCCAGAACCUUGAAAUCCUUUCACUGCAGGAAUUUUGGCCUGUGGGUACAGUUGGCUGCCUCGAGGCAGUGCACCUUGCACACAGCUGAGGAUCAGCUGCAUAAUGUCUGUAGGCGAGUACAUGAAGCAGGGAGAGAGGGAGAGUUUACUGCUUUAGCUUGACACACACUUGGAGAACUGCAGAUUCCAACUUAUCUCCCACUUUGAACCCCAGGGACUUUCAAUUCCUGACCCAGAACCAGACUUCAGGAUUUGCUCCCAGC
Anas platyrhynchos (mallard) is the source of this 1217-nucleotide long non-coding RNA. RefSeq lists it as uncharacterized. The record is from RefSeq and is a predicted model, not a curated record. Lineage: Eukaryota; Metazoa; Chordata; Aves; Anseriformes; Anatidae.